Long non-coding RNA from Portunus trituberculatus (swimming crab), 172 nucleotides. RefSeq lists it as uncharacterized. The record is from RefSeq and is a predicted model, not a curated record. The transcript has 2 exons. NCBI's taxonomy places the organism in Eukaryota, Metazoa, Arthropoda, Malacostraca, Decapoda, Portunidae.
UGUAGUGUGAGAGUAGUGGUGGUGGCGGUCGGGUGAGGACAGUGAUGCGCAUGAGUGACUGUUGAAAAGCACGGGGUUUGGAAUAUAAGAGGAGGCGGUACCAAGAAUAGCCACUGCUACUGUUAUCAUCACUAAACUACAAGAACAAGGACGAGAAGAACAAGAGCAAGAA